CCUCUACUACCGAAUAAAACAAGUUUGACGGGACCAACUACACAUAAAAAAAUCAAGUCUAAAACAAGAAGAAGAAACAACUAAACCACGUCCCUGAAUGAAGAGGAUUCACUAAUUGCUAGAGCAAGAAUCUGCACUAUAAAGCCACGAGCCUGAGAAUGGUCAUCAGUAUCUACACAAUGAAAAGAUGUAGCAUAGAAGAGAUAUGGUAUUAGUACAGAGAUGGUACUGAGUAUGCAAGAGAAACGCUAAAUAAUUUAAAAUAAUAUCUAUAUCAUACUUUAAAAAAGAACUAAACAAGAUCUCAAGAGAAUAUAUAUAUAUAUAUAUAUCAAAAGGAAAGCAAAUUCAGUUAAACUCAUAAAUAAGGAUUUCUGAAGAUGCCUAUCUAAAUUCAUACUAUCUAAGACUAUAAAAAUGAUCAUAUCAAAUAGACUUUCAAAAUAAGCUGAGUCUUUAAGUGGAAAUUCUUACAAUCCACAUACAUCAUGUGAGCUAAUGAUGUCUAACGUCAUCUAAUCCAUUAUAAGUGUGGCACGCUGCUCACUUAUAAAGAGGGCUCUAUUGAAUGUGAUUUCUUAGACAUCGUAGUGCUCUUGAACCUAAUAUCCAGAUAUCAAGCUUGUCAUAUCCUGAGUCUACAUCCUAAACGUGAUUGACACUAGAAGCCACUAGUAGCCCAAGCACAAUAUAUGAAAGAUAAAGCAAAAGCCAUGAACCAAAAUUAUGAUAUAAGUACGAAACUUGUUGAACAAAAUAUUAAAAGUCUGAAGGAUAACAUAAAUUACAAUACUAAGGUCUGUCAUGCCUCUACUACUGAAUCAAAUAAGUCCGUCGAGACUAGCCCCUAGCUAACUAUAAGAAAGCAAAGUCUAAAACACGAAGAAGAAACAACUAAAUUGAGGACACGCCAACUAUUGAAAUAGAAAUAUGCACUAUCUAGCCACGAGUCUAAGAAUGAUUACCAAUAUCUACAUUAACGAAAAGAUGUAAGAUAGAAAAAGUAUGCAGUCACCAAGAUAUCUACACAGGUAUCAAAGAGCCCAUGCAACAAGAAAGAAAAAAAGAUACUCUUAUUCGCUUAUUAGAGGAGGACAAAGCCAGAGUCUACCAACCAUGAAAACAUUCUAUAAUUAUGAAGCUAGUGGGAAAAAAAGCUCCCACCAGUAUCUGAGAUCUGCCUGGGACUCUAAUCCUCAUAGAUCUUGGGCAUGACUUCCGCAUUGCAAAAUUCAACCAGCUCAAAAAUGUGAACAAGGUUCUCUACGAGGGAUCAUGGUUCAUCCUUGGAGGGAAAUAUGGGAUCUAAACUUUGCAACAAAAGAAUCUACCGUCACUCAUACUGCUUUUUAAAUUAGAUUACCUUAACUACAUACAGAAUUCUACAAUCGAAAAAUCCUAGAAAAGGUGGUAAGAAAAUUGGGUGCACUACUAAAAAUUGACUCUGCACAUCGUCCACUCAAAGAGGAUAAUAUGGUAGAAUCUGAAUACAAGUUCUCGUGGAUAUACCUGCUAAGAAAUCAAUCACUAUUAGAAAUCAUACUCCAAAGGAGGUUUGCGAAAGAGAUGGAAUCCUGCGUUCAGGUUGUGAGUGGAUUGACUAUACCUUUAAAUAAUGCAAAGCUAUCCAACGCCCAUCAUAAAUAGAAACAACAAACCCUUUUUCAAACCCUAAUACAGUAGAGAUCCUACCAGAAAAACAUGGAACGUGGUAAUCUUCCCAAAAAGAAAGCUACCACCAAAAUGGAAAAAACCUCAAUUGUAAGGCUCAAGCAUCAAUGCCU
Molecule: long non-coding RNA, 1784 nt
Filed under: Capsicum annuum
Lineage: Eukaryota; Viridiplantae; Streptophyta; Magnoliopsida; Solanales; Solanaceae
Description: long non-coding RNA (CANN_LNC001658)
Source: RNAcentral